GCUGGUUCAUAUACCAUACAACAGCCAGGAAAUUGGCCUGUUUACUUUAAGAUCCCAAGAAAAUGUAACAUAUUUUGGAUGUGCUUUGAGGAAUCAGGAAUGCAAGUGUUUCCUCUUGUUUAUGAAGCAACUAAGUUGGUUAAGGGGCAAACAACUUGUGAGCAUGGUACAUCACUACCUGUAUUGGUAUUCCAUUUUGACAAUGUUACUAGCUAGAAUAGAAAUAACAUCUUGCUGUGGUACAGUCUGUGGAGACUUUUACUAGGAUAUCACAGAUCGACUGAAUAUUCAACAAUGAUCACAGACCAUGCAUAGUUUGAAUCUGACUUGCACUUUUGAAUUUAGAAGAAUCUGUGGAGGAGGUUGAAUGCUGAGACCUUUAAUAAUACAUGAUAUUGCUGACACAGUGUGUCAGUUAUGAAAGAAAGGCCAUAACACAGCACAGUUGGUCAACAAUGAUUUAAAUCCUGUCACAUUCUACCAGUGAAGAAAUAUCUUGUCACAAUAUUUUAAACUUUUGAAGAAGAUAACCCAGUAUUACCACUUUAUCAUGUCUGCAGAAACACCUGGAUUGUUAGUGUUAAAAGUGACAGUCCAGUUAACUUACUAAAAUCUACUCCCCCUUG
Molecule: long non-coding RNA, 626 nt
Organism: Mercenaria mercenaria
Lineage: Eukaryota; Metazoa; Mollusca; Bivalvia; Venerida; Veneridae
Exons: 3
Source: RefSeq, a predicted model, not a curated record